CCUACGGGUGGCUGCAGUAGGGAAUAUUGCUCAAUGGGGGAAACCCUGAAGCAGCAACGCCGCGUGGAGGAUGAAGGUUUUCGGAUUGGUAACUCCUUUUGUUAGAGAAGCUAAUAACGGUAUCUAACGAAUAAGCACCGGCUAACUCCGUGCCAGCAGCCGCGGGAAUACGGAGGGUGCCAGCGUUACUAGGAAUCACUGGGCGUAAAGAGCGCGUAGGCGGGAUAGCAAGUCAGAUGGGAAAUCCUAUGGGUUAACCAUAGAACUGCAUUUGAAACUGUUGUUCUAGAGUUUGAGAGAGGUAUGUGGAAUGCGUGGUGUAGCGGUAAAAUCCGUAGAGAUCAAGAGGAAUACUCAUUGCGAAGGCGACCUGCUAGAACAUAACUGACGCUGAUGCGCGAAAGCGUGGGGAGCGAACAGGAUUAGAUACCCCAGUAGUC
Molecule: ribosomal RNA, 440 nt
Filed under: uncultured bacterium
Lineage: Bacteria
Description: partial 16S ribosomal RNA
Rfam family: Bacterial small subunit ribosomal RNA
Source: RNAcentral